Long non-coding RNA from Sapajus apella (tufted capuchin), 3312 nucleotides. RefSeq lists it as uncharacterized. NCBI's taxonomy places the organism in Eukaryota, Metazoa, Chordata, Mammalia, Primates, Cebidae. The record is from RefSeq and is a predicted model, not a curated record. The transcript is spliced from 2 exons.
UAUGCUUCCAUUUUCCUCUGGUGCAUGGCCCCAGGAGAAAUUUUAAUUAGCUUUCUAACCUUGAUCCAGAUUGCAUAUGCAAAGGGUGGAGGAUGCAACACCCCCACUUGUGGAGCUACCGCUUGCGUCUCGCAUGAAAAUUCAUAAGAAGAGAGGAAAUAAUGAGGAGAAAAUGGCAGGUUGUGUUUGCUGACUUUGAUUGAUGAAGAAGUCGCCGUGAAAAUCACAGCAAACCAUAUGGAAAGCAAAUUGCCAAAAAGCAAUAGUCACGCUCGUAGGCUGGUAAUUGAAAUUUUUGUUCAAAUUGUACUUAAUAUUCAAUAACUGUUUAACCAAACCACUGCUUAUCUUGGGAAUGCAGAUACUAUGGAGACAAUAAGAUAAGGUGAAUGCUGAAAAGUCAGGUUUAGGCUAUACAUUGAUUACAAUCAUUUUAGUUUUUUGUAUAUCCCAUGAAAGUGUCACAUGUACGUGGUUGUUCUAUGUUUAAUAUUUGUAUAGCAACAAAGAGUAAAUAAAUUGUAAUUUAUACAUGUUAUAUUGUUGACCUAUACUAAAAAUAGUUAACAUAAUGAAAUGGUUUGGCUGAGUCCCCACACAAAUCUCAUCUUGAAUUGUAAUCCCAUAAUCCCCAUGUUUCUUGGGAGGGACCCAGUGGGAGGUAAUUGAAUCAUAGGGGUAGUGUCUCCCAUGUUGUUCUCAUUAUAGUGAGUUCUCAGGAGAUCUGAUGGUUUUAUAAGUGUCUGGAAUUUCCCCUUCUUAUUCAUUCUCUCUCCUGCUGCCUUGUGAAAAGGUGUCUUUGGACAUGAUUGUACAUUUCCUAAGGCCUCCCCAACCAGGUGAAAUUGUGAGUCAAUUAAACCUCUUUUCUUUAUAAUUACCCACUCUGAGAUACUUCUUCACAGCAGUGUGAUAACUAACUUAUACACAGAACAAUUAAAUGAACACAUUAUAACAAAUUGGAACUACAGAAGGUUUAAAUCAAGGAAAAAUGUAUAAGGAAUUUUCCUUCUCAAUGUUCCUUGGGGUUGAAGAGGCAUUUACAUUUGUUCAUGAAUAGAUCCUGUUUGCAAAAGGCCCUUAAAGGUAAACAUAGGCUUUAACAUUUUGAGGCUAAUGAUGAAACUGAGUCUCAUUUAUAAAGUUGUAGAUGCAGUAGACCAAUUGACAUGGGAAACUAGUCUUUCUUUGAGGCUGGUAAAACAAGAUCAGCACACACUCAGACCUGGUGCAGAGAAAGAGACUGAUUUAGAAAAUGUUCUCCCAUUAGCCUUUGGUAUCCUCUAGUCACCUGGGGCAGAGUGAUUUCUGUGAUUUCUAAACCUUCUGUCCUACUCAUCUCAUAGGCCAUGCCCAUUCUCACAACUCGUACUUUCCUUUAUUGUAGCCUCUGUUCUACUAGUUCUCUAAUAUCGUUUUAUUAGGAGCUUCAUUGAGAUAUAAUUUAUAUACCAUAACAUUCACAUUUGAACUGUAACAUCCAGUGUUUUUUAAUAAAGUCACAGACUUCUGAAACCAUCACAUCUAAUUUUAGAACAUUUUCACCACCAUCUGAAAAAAACUACAUAACAAUUAGCAGUCACUCCCAUUUCCUUUCUUUCUCAAACCCCUAGCAACCAUUAGUCUAUCUUCUGUUUUCAGCCAUUUCUAUUCUGAACAUUUAGUACAAAUAUGAUCAUUUACUAUGUGGUCAUUUGCUUGUUUGUUUCUUUUUAAUGUGUGGUCUUUUUGACUGGUUUCUUUCACUUUGCAUAAUGUUUUCAAGGUUCAUCCAGAUUUUAUCAGGUACAAAUACUUCAUUCCUUUUUUAUGCCUGAAUGAUAUUUAGUGGUAUUUUUUGCUGUUAUGAAUAAUUCACUGUUUGGCUGCCCUAAUUAUGCAUGUAUGAUUCUUUUCUAGGGACAUGUUUUUAUUUUGGAGGGUGUAAACUUAGAUAUUAUAUUGAGUCAUGUAAUAAAUUUAUGUUUAAAUAUUUGAGAGUCACUUCUUGAUGGUACUGUUUGUGACACAAAUCUGUUAUGCAUAUAUGUAUGUACUUACAUUGAUUGUGCUUUUGGUGUCCUAUCUAUCAAAGGUCAUGAAGAUUUACUGCAAUAUUUUCUUAUAAGAAUUUAUAAUUUUACCUCUUACAUUUGUUUCUGUGAUCCAUUUUUCAGUUAAUUCUUGUGUAUGGUGUGAAGUAGAAGGCCAACUUCAUUCUUUUCUGUGUAACGUUUCAGUUUUCCCAGUAUUUUUUAUUGAAAAGUUGAUAAAGUGAAUUGUAUCAUAGAAAAUAUCACAUUGAAUUAUAUUGGCACCUAUAUCAAAACUCAGUUGAUCAUAAAUGUAAAGAUUUAUUUCUGAAAUCUUAUUUCUAUUCUAUUAGUUGAUAUAUCUCUCCUUGUGUUAGUACCAUAAUGUCUUAAUUGCUGUAGCUUUGUGCUAAGUUUUGAAACAGGAUAGUAUACGUCCUUCAACUUUGUUCUUUCUUGCCAGGUUGUUUUGGCUGUUGUAGGUUUCUUACAUUUCCAGAUGAUUGAUUGUAAAGGGCUGUUUCUCAAUUUCUGUAACAAAAGCCAGCUGAAAUUUUGGCACCAGUAUCAUUGAAUAUGUAGAACAGUUUGGUAAGCACUGUCAUCUUUACCCUGUGAACACCAUAUAUUUUAGCCUCCCAUGUCUCUUAAAACAAUCUGUCUCCAAUCCAUCCCCCCAAAUAGUCAAUAGUCAAAUAUAGUCCUGCAUCUUUGUUUAUACAAAGAAAAUAAAUCCUUUGCACCAUGCUAAGAAUUGGACCCAGCUCUGAAUCAAACUGUGAAACAAGAUAUACUGCUGAAUAAAAUACUCAGCUGCUCAUGUCAGAGCAUCCCCAAUGAGGUCAAAAGUGACUUCACAGUUUUCUUGAGUUCACAAGCAAAAUGGUUGUGUAUGUGAUUUCCAUUAAUUUAGUUUAAGAGUGCAUUCAAGUAGUUUUCUCAGGAAAGAAGUGAAAACAUUUUUCCCCCAAAAUAACAUGGAAUCAUCUACUUCCAGUAAAACACCAUAGCUGACAAUUUUUCUGAUUUCUAUACUUUCAAGAUUCAAAAUUUUGGUUUUGUUUUCACAUAUACAAAACCAUAAAUGCCUUUAAAAUAUACAAAGUAUGUUUGCUAUGUAAGGACCAAGAAUUACUACAUGCCAAUAUAGAACCACAACCAUUAAAUAUAUAUGAGAAAAUUCAUGAUAUAAUCAUUUCACACUCCUUUCUUCUAUGUACCACCAAAAGAAGAGGUAUAUAUAUUCCUUUCAACUAGCUGGAUACUUUUAUUUAAAGUAAACCAUAAAGGAAAUUGAAAC